CCCAGAGCGAGAGGAAGAUGAAGGUGGCUGUGCUCAGCGUGGCCCUGCUCUUCUCCAUCCUGCUGUGCCCCCCGGCACAGGCCAAGGCACUCCUGGAAGGAACCCAAGAUGAUCUCCGGGAGCUGGAUUUAGGCAAUGUCGCGGAGCUGGAGACGCCUCUGCCCUUUCGGGAUGAAGAGCUGCGGGCUCUUCUGCGGUAUAAACGCCUGGCUGCCUCUCUGGAUGCCUAGGUGAGCUGUGACUGCAGGGACAGGGGUCGAGACAAAGCCCCUCCGUGGCCCAGUGAGCUCCAGAGGUCAUGUUCUGGGGUUUUUCAUUUAGGAUUGGAAGCUGUGGGGACAUGGUGUCCCGAUCCCCUCUGGCGGUGUGAGGAGAUGAUCAUCCCUGGAGGAACCCUCUGAUCCCUGUGAGCCCUGGGCUAUUCCCCCUCAAUAAUCAAUAAACCCUUUCAGCAAAGUUACA
RNAcentral lists this long non-coding RNA (462 nucleotides) under Serinus canaria (Common canary). RNAcentral's name for it is "lncRNA (ENSSCAG00000017350.1)". The record is from RNAcentral. Lineage: Eukaryota; Metazoa; Chordata; Aves; Passeriformes; Fringillidae.